Molecule: ribosomal RNA, 601 nt
Filed under: uncultured Atheliaceae
Lineage: Eukaryota; Fungi; Basidiomycota; Agaricomycetes; Atheliales; Atheliaceae
Description: eukaryotic LSU rRNA
Rfam family: 5.8S ribosomal RNA (bases 237-391)
Source: RNAcentral
UCUUGGUCAUUUAGAGGAAGUAAAAGUCGUAACAAGGUUUCCGUAGGUGAACCUGCGGAAGGAUCAUGUAUUGAAUUAGCGAGGGCUGUCUGCUGGCCCCUUCGGGGGCAUGUGCACGCCCGAGCCGUUUAAAUCAACACCUGUGAACUCACCGUAGGCCUUCGGGCUAUAUGUAUCAUAAUAUACUCAGAUCAUAGAAUGUAUGUUUUGCCUUUAAAAAAAAAGCAAUCAAAUACAACUUUCAACAACGGAUCUCUUGGCUCUCGCAUCGAUGAAGAACGCAGCGAAAUGCGAUAAGUAAUGUGAAUUGCAGAUUUUCAGUGAAUCAUCGAAUCUUUGAACGCACCUUGCGCUCCUUGGUAUUCCGAGGAGCAUGCCUGUUUGAGUGUCAUUAAAUCCUCAACCCCGUCGGUCGGUCGGGGCUUGGACUUUGGAGUGUGCUGGCGAAGGUCGGCUCCUCUUUAAAUGCAUCAGCGGAGAAAAACCUUUUUCCCCCUUCAGCGUGAUAACUGCGUUGCGCUGUGGUCGUGAAAGGGUCCGCUCAUAAUUGUCCUCUGGGACAAACACCAAAUCUGUUUUGACCUCAGAUCAGGUAGGACUA